Molecule: non-coding RNA, 21 nt
Filed under: Caenorhabditis elegans
Lineage: Eukaryota; Metazoa; Nematoda; Chromadorea; Rhabditida; Rhabditidae
Source: RNAcentral
UCUUAUUGUGAAAUUGGUAGG